CAGAAAUGCAGUUUGUGAAUGAAGAAGACCUGGAGACCUUAGGAGCAGCAGCGCCACUCUUGCCCAUGAUCGAGGAGCUCAAACCCCCCUCUGCCAGUGUAGUCCAGACAGCAAACAAGACGGAUUCUCCUUCCAGGAAAAGAGAUAAACGAAGCCGACAUCUUGGUGCUGACGGCGUCUACUUGGAUGACCUCACAGACAUGGAUCCUGAAGUGGCGGCCCUGUAUUUUCCCAAAAAGUAAAAUUCCUCUUAAUUCCUCACAUCAUUUCCUAUAAUCUGAAUAUCAUUCUGUGUGAGACCAGUUUUCCCUUAUGUUUGAUUAGAAAGUGUGCAAGACAGCUGGGCGCGGUGGCUCACGCCUGUAAUCCCAGCACUUUGGGAGGCUGAGGUGGGCGGAUCACUUGAGGUCAGGAGUUCAAGACCACCCUGGCCAACAUGGUGAAUCCUCAUUCUACUGAAAAUACCAAAAUUGGCUGCACGUGCUGGCACGCACCUGUAAUCCUAGCUACUCGGGAGGCUGAGGCAGGAGAAUUACUUGAACCCAGGAGGCGGAGGUUGCAUUGAGCCGAGAUCAUGCCAUUGCACACCAGCCUGGGCCACAGAGUGAGACUCCAUCUCAAAAAAAAA
RNAcentral lists this small RNA (628 nucleotides) under Pan troglodytes (chimpanzee). Its description in RNAcentral is "retained intron". The record is from RNAcentral. Lineage: Eukaryota; Metazoa; Chordata; Mammalia; Primates; Hominidae.